This 498-nucleotide long non-coding RNA is filed under the name Sus scrofa (pig). Its description in RNAcentral is "lncRNA (ENSSSCG00040007698.1)". The record is from RNAcentral. Lineage: Eukaryota; Metazoa; Chordata; Mammalia; Artiodactyla; Suidae.
GGAAAAGAGAGAGCGCGUGAGAGAGAGAGAGAGAGAGCGCGAGAGAGUGCAAAGCAGUCCCAGGCUUCCUCGUCUCUUUCACGUCAGAGGCAGAAACCGACUGUUCUAAGGCUGUUGACUCAACACGCAGGGACAGAGAAAGGCACAGACAGAGACCCUGCCAGCUUGGGUUUCAUUUCUUCGGUGGAGCCUCCACGCUUCCUCCCAGGAAAGGAGGAAGGGAAGAGAAGGGAAGAGGUGGCUUCUCUAGGUGAGCGCAUCAGCUGGCUUCAGCCCGCACAGGCAAGAAUUCUCUUCGCAGGAAGCUCCUCUUGCUCCCCUGCCGCCCACCCCCCCAGCCCGACCAAGGACAGGAAAGGGAAAUCUCAUGGAAAAAUCAGUGGUAAAGCCAGGACCAGUUCUCUUGAUUGCCAGUGUCCCACUGGAGCAUGCUGGAUGAUCCUUGCUGUCUGAAUGCUUCACCAGUGUCUCAUCCUGUGAGCUGCAGAGACCUUCACC